UCAAUCUCUCACCCAGGUACUGCCAGAGCGUCUUCUCACCCAGGAGCUCUGGGACAGACUGAAACAGCUCGGAGCUCCCCAUGCUGCCUCCUCACCCACCCUGCCAAGCCAUGGCCACAAUCCUGAGCAGUCCGAAUGGCUCUUGAGAAUGCUGAGCUGUACGCCACCUCCAAGGAGCCACAUCCCUACUGCAUUCCGUGCACCAAGGUGGCUAACGGAGGUGGAGGUGUCCUGAAUGGCCCCGCCAGGGCCGCCGCAUCGAAGCCCACGACUAUGUCUUCAGAGUCCCUGGUACUGACAGAGAAGGCUUUGAGGACCAUGUGGCGCCAAGACCUCCUUCUGCGGUUUCAGUGAAAAGACGAUGAACUCCUUCAUCUUCUACAGCAGCUGGACUUCACCACAGUGCACCAAGGACUGGACCUGCACUCUAUCUUUACCCCUUCCGACACCAGAUGCUGAGAUGCCACACUCUGAGUGUGCCUGCCCCUGAGGGCCUCCACAAAUGGGAAAAGCUUCAGACCUAUUUUGGUUCAGACGCCCGUGAUGGUGAAUUUGACCUACUACAUCCUGACUUUAUUCACUACCUGAGAGAGGUUUUUGAAGUUCAGUUUGCUUAAUAGGGAUCCCAGAGACAGGUACAUGGCUAGCACUGGGGCCCUCAACUUGCUGACAGCUUUGCAUAUCUGUGAUCAGGUUAGCAGUGAUCAUUGAUUUAUCACGGAAAUUACUGGCAAUUUUCUGGCCACUAUUUUGAAUGAACAAGGAAGCCACUGAUCAUUUAUCUAAACCACAAUCUGUGAAUUCAGGCACUUGCACAAAGCUGAUAUCAUUCAGCU
RNAcentral lists this long non-coding RNA (836 nucleotides) under Homo sapiens (human). RNAcentral describes it as "non-protein coding lnc-SUCLG1-4:1". The record is from RNAcentral. Lineage: Eukaryota; Metazoa; Chordata; Mammalia; Primates; Hominidae.